RNAcentral lists this ribosomal RNA (414 nucleotides) under uncultured microorganism. RNAcentral's name for it is "bacterial SSU rRNA". It matches the Rfam family "Archaeal small subunit ribosomal RNA", at positions 459 to 872 of the family's 1478-position model. The record is from RNAcentral.
CAGCAGCCGCGGUAAUACCGGCGGCCCGAGUGGCGGUCACUAUUAUUGGGCUUAAAGCGUCCGUAGCCGGGUUGGGAAGUCCUCCGGGAAAUCUGGCCGCUUAACGGUCAGAAUGCCGGAGGAUACUCCCAGCCUAGGGAGCGGGAGAGGCCGAGGGGAUUCCCGGGGUAGGGGGGAAAUCCUAUAAUCCCGGGAGGACCACCUGUGGCGAAGGCGCUCGGCUGGAACGCGUCCGACGGUGAGGGACGAAGGCCAGGGGAGCAAACCGGAUUAGAUACCCGGGUAGUCCUGGCUGUAAACGAUGCGGACUUUGUGUCGGACAAGCUAUGAGCUUGUCCGGUGCCGGAGGGAAACCGUUAAGUCCGCCGCCUGGGGAGUACGGCCGCAAGGUUGAAACUUAAAGGAAUUGGCGGG